Toxorhynchites rutilus septentrionalis is the source of this 607-nucleotide long non-coding RNA. RefSeq lists it as uncharacterized. The transcript is spliced from 2 exons. Lineage: Eukaryota; Metazoa; Arthropoda; Insecta; Diptera; Culicidae. The record is from RefSeq and is a predicted model, not a curated record.
GUGACGCGGACAAGAGCUAGUGCGAAAUACCGGCAGCAACGGCAGCAGCGAAGUCGAAGCAAACCUAAGCAGCCUGUAAUCGAGCUGGACGUCGCAUCGGCCUGCUUCAAUAGCAGCAGCAGCAUCGGACAGUGAAGUUAACCCAAGCAACCAUCGAGCUGAGGGUCGCACCGGCCUGCUUCGGUAGCAGCGAACAUCGAAGCUAAGCCGAGCAACCCGCAAUCGAGCUUGGCGUCGGUCUGCUGCAAUAGCAACAACAGCAACAGCAGCAACAACAGCGGCAGCGAACAUCACAAUUAAUCCGAUGCGAUUCUCUUGCCAACCAACAUGGAUACAAUGCGCUCUCCACUCUGAAACAAUCAUAAUUUGGCAUUAGAUUCAGCAGAAAAAUGAAUUAUCCAUCCAUCGUUUUCAUCGGUGCUUUCCGUGCAUCUGUAAAAAAGACGCGCUCCAUGGCGUCCCCGACGCUAAUUUUGGCGAAUAAUUUUCACUGCAUCGGUCUAAGUUGUGUUAAGUGCUUGCAGCAGUGUCUUAGAAUAUCAACAAAUAUUCACGAGAAACGAAUAUGAUUUUGUUCCAAUGUAAAUGACUUUUUUUUAGCUUGAAA